RNAcentral lists this ribosomal RNA (207 nucleotides) under uncultured bacterium. RNAcentral's name for it is "partial 16S ribosomal RNA". It matches the Rfam family "Bacterial small subunit ribosomal RNA", at positions 568 to 774 of the family's 1533-position model. The record is from RNAcentral.
UUCGUAGGCGGUUUGUCGCGUCGUUUGUGAAAACCCGGGGCUCAACUUCGGGCUUGCAGGCGAUACGGGCAGACUUGAGUGUUUCAGGGGAGACUGGAAUUCCUGGUGUAGCGGUGAAAUGCGCAGAUAUCAGGAGGAACGCCGGUGGCGAAGGCGGGUCUCUGGGAAACAACUGGCGCUGAGGAACGAAAGCGUGGGUAGCAAACA